This 66-nucleotide transfer RNA is filed under the name Brachytarsina amboinensis. Its description in RNAcentral is "tRNA-Asn". The record is from RNAcentral. Lineage: Eukaryota; Metazoa; Arthropoda; Insecta; Diptera; Streblidae.
UUAAUUGAAACCAAAAAGAGGUAUAUCACUGUUAAUGAUAUAAUUGAAACAAAUUUUCCAAUUAAA